Molecule: ribosomal RNA, 615 nt
Filed under: uncultured bacterium
Lineage: Bacteria
Description: bacterial SSU rRNA
Rfam family: Bacterial small subunit ribosomal RNA
Source: RNAcentral
GACGAACGCUGGCGGCGUGCUUAACACAUGCAAGUCGAACGGUGACCUCGAGAGCUUGCUCUUGGGUGAUCAGUGGCGAACGGGUGAGUAACACGUGAGUAACCUGCCCCAGACUCUGGAAUAACCCCGGGAAACCGGAGCUAAUACCGGAUACGAGACGGAGCCGCAUGGCUACCGUCUGGAAAGUUUUUCGGUCUGGGAUGGACUCGCGGCCUAUCAGUUAGUUGGUGAGGUAACGGCUCACCAAGACGACGACGGGUAGCCGGCCUGAGAGGGCGGCCGGCCACACUGGGACUGAGACACGGCCCAGACUCCUACGGGAGGCAGCAGUGGGGAAUAUUGCACAAUGGGCGAAAGCCUGAUGCAGCGACGCCGCGUGAGGGAUGAAGGCCUUCGGGUUGUAAACCUCUUUCAGCAGGGAAGAAGCGAAAGUGACGGUACCUGCAGAAGAAGCACCGGCUAACUACGUGCCAGCAGCCGCGGUAAUACGUAGGGUGCGAGCGUUGUCCGGAAUUAUUGGGCGUAAAGAGCUUGUAGGCGGUUUGUCGCGUCUGCCGUGAAAAUCCGGGGCUCAACCCCGGACUUGCGGUGGGUACGGGCAGACUAGAGUGUGGU